UGGGGAAUCUUCCGCAAUGGACGAAAGUCUGACGGAGCAACGCCGCGUGAGUGAAGACGGCCUUCGGGUUGUAAAGCCCUGUUAUUCGGGAAGAACGAUUCGUUUGUGAACAAUGAACGGAAGUGACGGUACCGAAAGAGAAAGCCACGGCUAACUACGUGCCAGCAGCCGCGGUAAUACGUAGGUGGCAAGCGUUGUCCGGAAUUAUUGGGCGUAAAGAGCGCGUAGGCGGUAUGGUAAGUCUGUCUUAGAAGUGCGGGGCUUAACCCCGUGAGGGGACAGAGACUGUAAUACUGGAGUCUCGGAGAGGAAAGCGAAAUGCCUAGUGUAGCGGUGAAAUGCGUAGAGAUUAGGAAGAACACCGGUGGGGAAGGCGGCUUUCUGGACGAGCACUGACGCUGAGGCGCGAAAGCGUGGGGAGCGAACAGG
Molecule: ribosomal RNA, 429 nt
Filed under: Fusobacteriota bacterium
Lineage: Bacteria; Fusobacteriati; Fusobacteriota
Description: Fusobacteria bacterium partial 16S ribosomal RNA
Rfam family: Bacterial small subunit ribosomal RNA
Source: RNAcentral